RNA transcript from Engraulis encrasicolus (European anchovy), 2075 nucleotides. RefSeq lists it as uncharacterized. The transcript has 6 exons. NCBI's taxonomy places the organism in Eukaryota, Metazoa, Chordata, Actinopteri, Clupeiformes, Engraulidae. The record is from RefSeq and is a predicted model, not a curated record.
CGAGACAUUGGGCGAUAUCGAAAGAGGAACUAUAAGCUUACGAAGCUUCAGAGAACGACGCUCGCAAGGCACAUCAGUUAGGCCAUGGAAUUCCUCCAGUCCAAUAAAGACAAACUAUGCACGCUGUUAGCCAGUCACCUUGAUAAGGUGUUGGAUCAGGUUGGGGAGGAUAUAUCAUAUAAGGAGUCGAAGAGCUGCAUCAAGCAAGGUGGAAAGGAGGGGAUGAAGAUACUACUGGAGGUCAUGCUAGGGAAAGAACAAGGGAAAUGUCAACAGCUGGUGAAGUUCCUGGGUGAUACUUUUCCAGAAAUAAAGGACUUAAUCAACAGUCAAGGAGCUUCAGGAGCAGGAAGUGUUCCGAUGUAUGCAGACCAAAACAGUACCAUUGUGGCAGCUGAGACCGCCAACACCAACUUGAAGUCUUACAAAAUGAAAGCUGAUAUACAUGGGCAAGACGGAUGCAGUGCUACUUCUUCCCAAGUGUGCCCACCAGCAAACUUUCCCAGCAGUGGCUCUCGUUUGGUGGCAACAAAUAAUAGCCACAUAUUUGCCCCAAAGUUAACAGGCUCGACUGUGGAUGGGGAUGUGGACUUUUCUUUUACUUACAGCUCUAAAUCCAAGUCCUCUCAAAGUGCAGGUAAGGUAUAAGGUGGAAAUGCAGGAAAUAGUACAUCUUGCACCACAGUCCCAGAUAAGCUUCUCUUCUUCAAAACCAACAAUGUGAAUUUGAUACAAAGGAUAAAAAACGUGGGGUCUAUUCUGGAUUAUCUUUUCCAAGAGGGUUUCCAUCCGGAGAUGGUAGCCAAAGCACGCGCUGAAAAAGUACCUCAGGAACAGAUGAGGGUGAUACUGGUAGCCACCACCACCAAGGCAGCGGCAAAAAUCUUAUUUCAAGCCCUACAGACUAACGAGAAAGACCUUAUGGAUGAACUGAUCAAUUAACAUGUGUGGAAAAAAGAUAGAAGGGCUGACUAUAGAGAUGAAGGGUUGCGUUGCAAAGCCGUGUACUUUGUAGAAUGUUGGGAAACUGACAUUUUUGCAUUGGGCAUUCUAUUGCAUUGCAUUGGAAAAUGCAUUUAUAUACAGUAGGUUUAAAAAGUAUGUUCCCAAAAUAUUUCAAUGGCAAGAAUUGACACGUAGGUGAUAGGACCUCUGAGCAGUCAUUUCAAAUAAUGAAAUGCAAAAGUCAAAAAUGGUGGAUACACCGUUUUGCAACAAAACCCUUCAUAUUUUACACAGCUACAAACAUGCACACACGCGCACGCUCACACACACACAGCCCGCAUGUAAUAAUGGUCUAGCCAGGCUGCGCCCUCCUAGUGACGCAACACCUUCGGUGGCAUUGCCUCUAAAAUCGAAUCGAGAUUUGAAAGUCUAUGAUAAUCAGGCUAAUAAUGGGCAUGAAUGAUCCAAAAAAUAGGCUGCCUCUAUAGGACAAUUCCAUAUCAACUCGAAAGGGCAUUUUUACUGUGGAAGUUUCUCUACCUGUGUAUUUUAUAGUUUUUAUAGUUUUUACAACUCGUCAUAGUGCACAUGCGCUAAAGCUUUAACUCAUACUACAGCCAUAGUGAAACUCGUAAGAGCACCUAAGUGCCUUUACUUUUUAACUUUUAUACUUUUUUUAUGACAAACUUUACAGUAUCUUGUAUUUUCCACUUGAAGUGAUUAUAAGGGUAUAUCUCAGGCUAUAUUUGUUUAGUGUUUUUUUUCUUUUAAAUCAUGAAUUGAAAAUGCAGGGAAACUGGAUGUAUGCAGAAAUAUUUUGUAACGUAUGACUUUUUAUUGAAAUCUUUUAAAUGUAUUUUUUUUUACGAGGGAAAAUUAGGUUACUAGAUUACUAUCAAUAAGGGAAUCUUUAUACAUGGGACUCAGUGUAAAGGGAAAUAAGCACUUAAUGUCCUUUUUUAUCUUCAUCUAUGCACUUUGCAGUGUCACAUUCCAGCAAGCCAAAAACAAUUAGGGGAAAUGAUUUGAUGUAAGCUUACCUGUAAAUCAUGUAACUAGGCCUUCUUGUGUAUGUAAUUCAAGUAUCUUGCAUGUUAAAGGGGGACCAAAACACUUACAAGGCCUUUCUA